UACGUAGGGUGCAAGCGUUGUCCGGAAUUAUUGGGCGUAAAGAGCUCGUAGGCGGCUUGUCACGUCGGCUGUGAAAACCUGGGGCUCAACCCUGGGCCUGCAGUGGGUACGGGCAGACUAGAGUGCGGUAGGGGAGACUGGAAUUCCUGGUGUAGCGGUGAAAUGCGCAGAUAUCAGGAGGAACACCGGUGGCGAAGGCGGGUCUCUGGGCCGUAACUGACGCUGGAG
Molecule: ribosomal RNA, 228 nt
Filed under: uncultured bacterium
Lineage: Bacteria
Description: partial 16S ribosomal RNA
Rfam family: Bacterial small subunit ribosomal RNA
Source: RNAcentral